UGCGUGUGUAGGCAAAGGUAAUAUCUUUGGUAAGCCUUUUGCUAGGUGGACUGUGAAGUCAUUAUUAGGUAAGGUAUACUACCCUCCUUUCUAAGUAGCCUAGUCCUACAGACAGAUUAUAUUGGUUAUCUGUCGUACUAGUCUACUCUUAAAGGAGGGUAGUUUACCUAACCUAGUAAUGACUUCAUUGUUCAGCUAGCAAGCAAGCUCACAAAAG
This 217-nucleotide long non-coding RNA is filed under the name Mytilus galloprovincialis (Mediterranean mussel). Lineage: Eukaryota; Metazoa; Mollusca; Bivalvia; Mytilida; Mytilidae. The record is from RNAcentral.